RNAcentral lists this ribosomal RNA (508 nucleotides) under uncultured bacterium. RNAcentral's name for it is "partial 16S ribosomal RNA". It matches the Rfam family "Bacterial small subunit ribosomal RNA", at positions 30 to 523 of the family's 1533-position model. The record is from RNAcentral.
AUUGAACGCUGGCGGCAUGCCUUACACAUGCAAGUCGAACGGCAGCGGGGGAGAAGCUUGCUUUUCCUGCCGGCGAGUGGCGAACGGGUGAGUAAUACAUCGGAACGUGCCCUGUAGUGGGGGAUAACUAGUCGAAAGAUUAGCUAACACCGCAUACGACCUGAGGGUGAAAGUGGGGGACCGCAAGGCCUCAUGCUAUAGGAGCGGCCGAUGUCUGAUUAGCUAGUUGGUGGGGUAAAGGCCUACCAAGGCGACGAUCAGUAGCUGGUCUGAGAGGACGAUCAGCCACACUGGGACUGAGACACGGCCCAGACUCCUACGGGAGGCGGCAGUGGGGAAUUUUGGACAAUGGGCGAAAGCCUGAUCCAGCAAUGCCGCGUGUGUGAAGAAGGCCUUCGGGUUGUAAAGCACUUUUGUCCGGAAAGAAAUGGCUCUGGUUAAUACCUGGGGUCGAUGACGGUACCGGAAGAAUAAGGACCGGCUAACUACGUGCCAGCAGCCGCAGUAA